RNAcentral lists this ribosomal RNA (911 nucleotides) under uncultured bacterium. RNAcentral describes it as "bacterial SSU rRNA". It matches the Rfam family "Bacterial small subunit ribosomal RNA", at positions 33 to 935 of the family's 1533-position model. The record is from RNAcentral.
ACGCUAGCGAUAGGCUUAACACAUGCAAGUCGAGGGGCAGCAUUAUUUUAGCUUGCUAAGAUAGAUGGCGACCGGCGCACGGGUGCGUAACGCGUAUGCAACCUGCCUGUAAUUAGGGAAUAACCCGGUGAAAGUCGGACUAAUACCCUAUAUUCUUCUUUCUCCGCAUGGGGAAGGACGGAAAGAUUUAUUGAUUACAGAUGGGCAUGCGUCCCAUUAGCUUGUUGGUAAGGUAACGGCUUACCAAGGCAACGAUGGGUAGGGGGACUGAGAGGUUGACCCCCCACACUGGUACUGAGACACGGACCAGACUCCUACGGGAGGCAGCAGUGAGGAAUAUUGGUCAAUGGGCGAGAGCCUGAACCAGCCAAGUCGCGUGAAGGACGACGGUUCUAUGGAUUGUAAACUUCUUUUGUAGAGGAAUAAUGGCAGCUACGUGUAGCUGAGAUGCAUGUACUCUACGAAUAAGUAUCGGCUAACUCCGUGCCAGCAGCCGCGGUAAUACGGAGGAUACGAGCGUUAUCCGGAAUUAUUGGGUUUAAAGGGUGCGUAGGUGGCGUAUUAAGUCAGUGGUGAAAAGCUGCAGCUCAACUGUAGUCUUGCCGUUGAAACUGAUAUGCUAGAGAGGAGACGAGGUAUGCGGAAUGUGUGGUGUAGCGGUGAAAUGCAUAGAUAUCACACAGAACGCCGAUUGCGAAGGCAGCGUACUAGGCUCCGUCUGACACUGAAGCACGAAAGCGUGGGGAUCAAACAGGAUUAGAUACCCUGGUAGUCCACGCAGUAAACGAUGAAUACUAGAUUUUUGCGAUAUACUGUAAGAGUCUAAGCGAAAGCGAUAAGUAUUCCACCUGGGGAGUACGCCGGCAACGGUGAAACUCAAAGGAAUUGACGGGGGCCCGCACAAGCGGAGG